ACUUAUCUGGCCAAUUGGAUGAUUGUGUUCAUUAGUUGCUAAGGCAUUUUGGUUUAGCCCAUACCAGUUAAAUUGGUUAUGUAAUAACUGAUUAGAUGAGAUUUGACCUAAACCUUCCCAAUCAAUAUUAAGCCUUAUGAUCUUCCAUCAUUGUAGAAGUACGAGCAUGCUACUGACAUUGACUAUUCUCGGUUGGUUAUAGU
This 203-nucleotide long non-coding RNA is filed under the name Elaeis guineensis (African oil palm). RNAcentral describes it as "long non-coding RNA (EGUI_LNC059509)". The record is from RNAcentral. Lineage: Eukaryota; Viridiplantae; Streptophyta; Magnoliopsida; Arecales; Arecaceae.